RNAcentral lists this ribosomal RNA (541 nucleotides) under Penicillium citrinum. Its description in RNAcentral is "partial small subunit ribosomal RNA". It matches the Rfam family "Eukaryotic small subunit ribosomal RNA", at positions 50 to 584 of the family's 1831-position model. The record is from RNAcentral. Lineage: Eukaryota; Fungi; Ascomycota; Eurotiomycetes; Eurotiales; Aspergillaceae.
CAUGCANGUCNUAGUAAAAAAACUUNAGNCGGUCGUUNUCGAAANUGGCAUGGCUCNNUAAAUNCAGUUAUCGUUUAUUUGAUAGUACCUUACUACAUGGAAACCUGAGGUAAUUCUAGAGCUAAUANCAUGCUACAAACACCGANCUUCAGGAAGGGGUGUAUUUAUUAGAUAAAAAACCAACGCCCUUCGGGGCUCCUGUGGUGAAUAAUAAUAACUUAACGAAUCGCAUGGCCUUGCGCCGGCGAUGGUUCAUUCAAAUUUCUGCCCUAUCAACUUUCGAUGGCAGGAUAGUGGCCUACCAUGGUCGCAACGGGUAACCAGGAAUUAGGGUUCGAUUCCGGAGAGGGAGCCUGANAAACGGCUACCACAUCCAAGGAAGGCAGCAGGCGNCGCAAAUUANCCAAUCCCCGAUACGGGGAGGUAGUGANCAAUAAAUACUGAUACGGGGCUUCUUUCCGGUCUCGAAUAGGAAUCAAAACAUUUAAAUCCUNUAACUNGAGNAUCAUUGAGGCAAGUCUGUGCAGCANCCGCGGUAAUA